AACGAACGCUGGCGGCAUGCCUAACACAUGCAAGUCGAACGAGACCUUCGGGUCUAGUGGCGCACGGGUGCGUAACGCGUGGGAACCUGCCCUUAGGUUCGGAAUACCUCCCCGAAAGGGGUGCUAAUACCGGUUAAUGUCUUCGGACCAAAGAUUUAUCGCCUUUGGAUGGGCCCGCGUUGGAUUAGCUAGUUGGUAGGGUAAAAGCCUACCAAGGCGACGAUCCAUAGCUGGUCUGAGAGGAUGAUCAGCCACACUGGGACUGAGACACGGCCCAGACUCCUACGGGAGGCAGCAGUGGGGAAUAUUGGACAAUGGGCGAAAGCCUGAUCCAGCAAUGCCGCGUGAGUGAUGAAGGCCUUAGGGUUGUAAAGCUCUUUUACCCGGGAUGAUAAUGACAGUACCGGGAGAAUAAGCUCCGGCUAACUCCGUG
RNAcentral lists this ribosomal RNA (433 nucleotides) under uncultured bacterium. Its description in RNAcentral is "partial 16S ribosomal RNA". It matches the Rfam family "Bacterial small subunit ribosomal RNA", at positions 29 to 507 of the family's 1533-position model. The record is from RNAcentral.